This 423-nucleotide ribosomal RNA is filed under the name uncultured Thermogymnomonas sp. Its description in RNAcentral is "bacterial SSU rRNA". It matches the Rfam family "Archaeal small subunit ribosomal RNA", at positions 322 to 747 of the family's 1478-position model. Lineage: Archaea; Methanobacteriati; Thermoplasmatota; Thermoplasmata; Thermoplasmatales. The record is from RNAcentral.
CCUAUGGGGGGCAGCAGUCGCGAAAACUUCGCAAUGGGGGCAACCCCGACGAGGGAAUUCCAAGUGCCAGCACUUUGUGUUGGCUGUUCUCCUGUCUAAAAAACAGGAGGAGUAAGGGGCGGGUAAGACGGGUGCCAGCCGCCGCGGUAAUACCCGCGCCCCUAGUGGUGGUCGAUAUUAUUGAGCCUAAAACGUCCGUAGCCGGUCUUUUAAAUCUUUGGGCAAAUCGGGCAGCUUAACUGUCCGACUUCCGAGGAGACUGGAAGACUUGGGACCGGGAGAGGUCAGAGGUACUUCUGGGGUAGGGGUAAAAUCCUGUAAUCCUGGAAGGACCACCGGUGGCGAAGGCGUCUGACUAGAACGGAUCCGACGGUGAGGGACGAAGCCCUGGGGCGCAAACGGGAUUAGAUACCCCCGUAGUCC